CUCCCACGACGGGCCUAGCAAGGUUGACGCGGGGCCUUCUCAGCCGGCGAAGGGAAGGGGCGCUUAGAGAGAGGCGGAGGGAGGGAGAGAAGGAUCCGCCUAGGUUCAGCAACUCUCUACCUUCGUCGUAGUUAUAGCCGCGCACGUUCCUAUGCCGGGCCAUGGUGAACGCGGUGGUGGAGACCUGAGACCCUACAAUGAACCUUCUCCAAAAGCACAAUGUCACUGUUGAUAGAUCCUGCAUGAAGACACACACAAGAUGUUUUGCACCCCCAACCACAAAGAAGACAAGACACAUUCAAAUGGAGUAACCAUACAAGGUGUAGAAGAUAAUACGGCCAGCAGAUGCUGAAAGGACACGUGUAGAAAAGGAAGCAAAUAUUGAUCGCACAGGAUAUCAGUCCAACACCUAUUUUACCCCAAUGUCACUACAUCUUUUUUUUUCAUUUUCUGCAUAGAGCAAAUUAAAACUUUUGAAGGACAGAAAUAAUAAGACACAGCAUUCACAUAAUGCGUUUCAAGUGUUUAAAGUGCUAUAUAUAGUUUGGUUGCCACCCAGACUAACACUGCGCUGGUGCAACAAUGCCUGACAUCCAGCCUAAUGGUGUAGUGUUGUACAAAUGGGAGAAAGACAAUAUUUGACAAUCUCCCCUUUCCUCUGAAGCCACCGUGCCUCCUGAAAAUACAUCUCCGAGGUCGCACAGUCCUCAGAGUGAAGCACAGUGGGCUUCAGAAAGAAGAAGAAAUCAGCAAAAAUCACCCCUUCCUCCUCUCUUUGUGCAACAGCACAGGAAGUCAGGGAGCUGGAUGUCAGCCCUGUUGCACCAGCACAGGGCUAGUCUGAAUGGCAGCCAUUCUCUCAAUAUACCGUACAACAGCCUUGAAGGUAGGUCAAUAUUGUUACCUUCAUUUGGGGAGAAGUGGCUUGCCUGAGGACUUAUCUUAAAUUAAUGGCUGAUGUGAGAUUUGAAAUGGGGACUACGGUUGCUUAGGGUGUUCAUUAUAGAAUGCAUAUCUACUUGGAUAUUCAUUUGGAUUUGUACGUUACAUACCAGUGACUGCUUACACUUUAUUAACAGUACGUAACUCUGAAAAAAUAAGUAAGUUUAUGUGUUUUAAUUGUUUGCACCAGGUAACAAGAAGGAAAAACAGGAACAGUUGGUGCCCUGAAUGGAUGUAAUAAUCCAGGGAUUCCCCAAAUGCCCAACUCCCAUCAUCCACAGCCCCAAUGGCCAAACUCCUAUCACCCCCAGCCACAACUGGGCACCUCUGUAAUAAUAAAUAAGAAUCAGAGGAGGAGCCCAGGCUUUCCAGUUUGAGAUUUGUUAGAUAAGGCAGAUGACAGGAAAGAAAUAUGGUGAUGGUUACAAGCUCAUUAUUAUUAUUUAUUCGAUUUCUAUACCGCCCUUCCAAAAAUAGCUCAGAGCGGUUUACACAGAGAAAUAAUAAAUAAAUAAGAUGGAUCUCUGUCCCCAAAGGGCUCACUAUCUAAAAGAAAGAUAAGAUAGACACCAGCAACAGUCACUGGGGGUACUGUGCUGGGGGUGGAUAGCGCCAGUUACUCUCCCCCUGCUAAAUAAAGAGAAUCACCACGUUAAAAGGUGCUUUUUUGCCAAGUUAGCAGGGGAUUUUUUUUUUAAGCAAUUUAUUAUUCCUUUCUACUAAUAAAAGAAAACCGUCAAUUCCCCUGAAAGAUCAGGUAUGUAGCUUAGUCAUGCUCCUGAAUCCAAAACUCUCUGGUUUCUCAAGUUGAGGCAGUGUCCACGAGCACUUUUUAUUAGUUUUGGCUGAUAUGUCAGCUAUGCCCAUUUCUGGAGGUAAAUGACCUUAAAAUAGUGGUGCAUGUGCUGGUAACCUCCAGGUUUGACUACUGAAAUGCACUCUAUGUGUGGCUGCCUUUGUAUAUAAAUACAAUACAAGUCCUUGCAGCACAAAAAAGUGCCAGGGAGAAGUAAAACCUUUCUCCCUGAUAGUUCCAUGAUGAAAUUGGUUGGUAGGUUGGUCUUGUGCUACUUUUAGCAUUCAGUCAUGAGAUUCCUGCAACUGCAGUCCAAAGAGGUAUUAUUGUAGGUGAAUAGUUACCGCAUGUUUUUUCUGCAUAUUCAACUCAGCAUGUGAGUAAAAGGAGGUGAACACCUGGACAAGUGAUAAAUCUAGGAGCAGAUGUGCCAAUACUCAUUAAGGGAGAAGGGGAAAAGCUUAUUUCUAGGAAUUGGGUAUUGUAUCAUAUAAGCCUCUUCUGAACAUGAGAUGUAAACUUAGUCCUAAUGAGAGCCUAGACACAAGGAGGGUACAAUUUACAUGGAAUUAUUUUAGACAUUUGUUUUUACUGUUCUAUAUGAAAUGCUUAUCCUGGGAGAAAAAUCAAUAAGGUUAUGAAGUUGGUAGAAGAUUUGAAAGAAGCUUAUCCCAACCCCAUAGGCAUGUAGUAGAAUUUGGGGCACACCCAAAAAUUGCAUUAAAAGAAAAGUGUGUUUUGCAGUAUCUUCUGAUAAUGAAUAAAAUAUCUUCUGCAAAAAGGGCUGAAGCAGACCUUCAACCCAAAGCAUUUUUGUUUUGUUUGUAUUGCUAUCAUGUCUUGUGCAUAAGCUCACCCAGCAUCAUCUCACCAUCCGUGCCAACGCUUUUCUUAUGAGUCAGCAGAGAAUCGAAAGUCUGUUUUAAAAAAAGAGAACACAUUUCUAGGCCACAUUUUUCUACAAAUGCAGGAAAUAUAUGCGAAGGCCAGUUUCCCAGGCUCAGCUAUUCUCUAAUCAAAACCUAUAUCCUCGGUGGUCACUUUUGCACUUGUCUAGCUAUUGGAGGUGGUGGGGAUUGCCCCUGAUAGACAGAAACUUCAUUACUCCUCUAACGUCUAACAGCUGUGAUGAUGGGAUUGUUCUUGAAGGCCCUCUAAUCAUCACCUAUUUUUAAAUAAAAUAACCACAAGACUACUAAAACAUGGCUUACAGGUGUCCAACCAGUCAAAAUUGCAGGAGCUGUGAGAGUAGAAAAGUACUUUAGUCCUAGAUGUACCGUCAACAGAUGAUUUGAGCUAGUUUCCUGCCCUCCUUCCCCUUCCCCCAUAGAUAAUUUAGCCUAACUAUAUUGAAAGACAUGAUGAUUUAACAAGCAUGGUGAUGCUGUGAACUUAACUGUUUGUUUGCUUGGAAGGAGCUGCUUUAAACAACAUUUUGGUUGACUUGAAUAGGAGAGGUUUCCAGUAGAUCAGGCCUGCUCAACUUUGGCCCCCCAGCUGGUUUUGGACUACAACUCCCAUAAUUCCCAGCCACAGUAGACAAUAGCCAGGGAUUAUGGGAGUUGUAAGCCAACAUCUGCAGGAUGGAGAAAGUUGAAUAGCCCUGCAAUAGACUGUGGCCUUGAGAAGGAACCUGAGAAGUUUUACAAUGUCUGCAAAUCAGAGGUUUAAAUGAUGAACAUUCAGAAGUAUCUACAUUUAACAGUAACAAAACAACAACUCUUAUACCUGCACUAUGCCAGCAGCCUCUAACAUCAGCAUAAUGGUUGAAUAAUGUAGACGUCAAAAGAAAAAUGAUGUAUUUGCAACUUUGUCCUUCCAUCCCCUUUGCAGGAGUGUAUUUAUCUCUGGAGUGUGAGGCAGGUGCUUCUCAUAGUUCUGAAAAGACAAGUAUUGCCAACAUUUUCUUCCUAAGUUUCUUUUAUAAUUUGUGGUUGUUUAUAAUCUGUACAAAGUGCUCCCUUUUUAUGCAAUAUGUAUUUCAUUAUCGUUUCCAUUACUAAUGCAAAUGAUUUAACUCUCCCCUGCCCAUUCUGAAUUAACUCAGAAAUGAUUUGAGUUCUUCUCCAAAAACAUCAGGAAUAAUUUCUAUCAUUUUCUGCGUCAAUCUGCCCCUCCAAGUUGGCCGGAAGACCAAUGCAGACCAUGCUGUUAUCCUCUUGAGGACUCCUGUAGGUCUCAGAAGGGUGCUGGCAACACUAUCUCAGCAUUGCAAGAGUGACCAAUUGGAAAUAAAUUAUCAAAAACACAAGGUCAUGGCCUUCGCUAGAAGACCAAAGAUCCACUGUUGGAAUAGUGAUAGGCACAGAAUUGAGCAGGUUGCCUGCUUUACGUACCUGGGGGUGGUCCUUCAUGCCUCUGGCUCAAGAAGGGUCCACUGUGAACACGUUGCCCUAGCAGCACAGAGGAGCUCCUCUGCAAUCAUGAAGUUCCUGUGUACUAGAGUGGCCAUUACGUACCUGCAGAGCUCAAACUAUAUGAAGCCAAGUCAUUGGCACAAUUACUAUAUGGCACCCACCCAGGAUCUCCAUCCAAUCUUGCCAUACUGGAACGUGUUCGAUCUAAAUUCCUGAGAGGGACCUUACAAGUGCCUUGCUGUGUCUCCAAUGCCACUCUACAGCUGGAAACUGGCAUGAUAAAAGUGGAGGCGAAGGUUUGGAUGACAGUUCUCAACCACUGGCUCAAACUAGCCCUUUGCCCACGGGGCCUGGUCCUGCUAAUCUUGCAAAACAGCUUUCAGUCCUCAUGGAAAUAGGCAGUCUCCAACAAAGUGGCACAGCUGGGCUUCUCUCCGUCCAUUUUGCUUACAAUGGGCUGGAACAAGGCAAAAACAGCCAUCAAACAGAGGAUUCUGGACACAGAACGCCUGGCAGAUUUAAGUAAGGUGACAGGCUUUCUGGCCCUGGACAUUUGUAGGUUUACUGUCUCCCUCUCUGCAUAUCUGACACAAUUGGAAUUAGCAAGCCACAGAAGGGUGUUCAUCCUUGCCCGUUGUCAUGCCCUUCCCUCUGCCAUUCUGGAAGGCAAAUAUAAGAAAAUCCCAUUCAUGGAAGGGCUCUGUCCUUGUGACUUUGGGGAGAUGGAAACUAUAGACCAUGUGCUCCUGUCGUGUCCCUUUUAUAAAGCCAGUCGGGACAGGCUCAUAUCUCCCCUGCUUCUUAAAUACCCCGGCCGCUCUAGUCAAGUCUACACCAAGAUGCUGCUCUCAGAUGACAAUCGGUCCUUCAUGUACAAAGUUGCCAGGUUCUGUGGGGAAGUGUGCAAGAUCCGCAGGGUCCUGACCGCCAGCUAAUAUCUGGCAGCAGAUGUUUGACCUUUGACUGAGCAUAUCAUUUGCUUGACUGUAUAAUAAUUUUAAUUUGCCUUUUACUUCACUGCUUUUAUAUUGCUUUUUAUGUAACUUGUGUUUAUUAUUUUAACCAUUUUAUACUUUUAGUUGCCCUACUUUUAAGGAUUCAUUUACUCUGUUAAUUUUCCUACAGGUUUUAGGCUUAGCUGGUAGCAUUUUACUUCACUAAUUCCAUAGUUUUUAGAGUUGCAUUUUACUGUUAUAAUCGUACUUAGCUUUUAGAGUUAUAUUUCAUUUAGCAUGUGUUUUAUUAUAUUGUAUCUAUACCUUAUCCACUGAUGGUCUUUGACUGUAAUAAAGAUGAUUGAUUGAGCCAA
Molecule: long non-coding RNA, 5404 nt
Organism: Hemicordylus capensis (graceful crag lizard)
Lineage: Eukaryota; Metazoa; Chordata; Lepidosauria; Squamata; Cordylidae
Exons: 2
Source: RefSeq, a predicted model, not a curated record